CCUACGGGAAGCAGCAGUGAGGAAUUUUCCGCAAUGGGCGAAAGCCUGACGGAGCAAUACCGCGUGAGGGAUGAAGGAUUUUGGUCUGUAAACCUCUUUUCUCAAGAAAGAAGUUCUGACGGUACUUGAGGAAUAAGCAUCGGCUAACUCCGUGCCAGCAGCCGCGGUAAU
RNAcentral lists this ribosomal RNA (171 nucleotides) under uncultured phototrophic eukaryote. Its description in RNAcentral is "partial 16S ribosomal RNA". It matches the Rfam family "Bacterial small subunit ribosomal RNA", at positions 338 to 524 of the family's 1533-position model. The record is from RNAcentral.